Molecule: ribosomal RNA, 292 nt
Filed under: uncultured bacterium
Lineage: Bacteria
Description: partial 16S ribosomal RNA
Rfam family: Bacterial small subunit ribosomal RNA
Source: RNAcentral
GUGUCAGCCGCCGCGGUAAUACGUAGGGUCCGAGCGUUGUCCGGAAUUAUUGGGCGUAAAGGGCUCGUAGGCGGUUUGUUGCGUCGGGAGUGAAAACUCGGAGCUUAACUCCGAGCUUGCUUCCGAUACGGGCAGACUAGAGGUAGGCAGGGGAGAGCGGAACUCCUGGUGUAGCGGUGGAAUGCGCAGAUAUCAGGAAGAACACCGGUGGCGAAGGCGGCUCUCUGGGCCUAUUCUGACGCUGAGGAGCGAAAGCGUGGGUAGCGAACAGGAUUAGAAACCCCCGUAGUCC